Molecule: long non-coding RNA, 1447 nt
Organism: Sorghum bicolor (sorghum)
Lineage: Eukaryota; Viridiplantae; Streptophyta; Magnoliopsida; Poales; Poaceae
Exons: 2
Source: RefSeq, a predicted model, not a curated record
UGGCCAUUUACCCCCUCUCCUGUUCACCUCUCACGGAUCUAAUCAAAAGCCAACUUCCGUGCCCACCCCAUGUCCUCCUGCCUGCGCCCACCUUUGGCCCGGUGUGGCGGCGCCCUUCCGUUGCCCAGAUCACCGGCACCGUUCCCCCCCAGCACACCUCUCCCCUCUAGCAAGCCCCUCGAGCUCCCCAUACUGAUCCACCCACGCGCCUCCCCAAGCGGAUGCGUGCGUGCCGGCGCUAGUCGCGGCGUAUUUUGCUACGGGCGCCACCAGGAUUGCCAAGCCGCUGCCGAUUCUUGUGCCCCAUAUUGAUUGUUGAUGCUGGAUGGAGAUGACGAGGCAACUGCACAGCACGGCCAGAUCUUGGCAACCCCUACCGUAAGCAGUCAUCUUCCUCAAUGGAAUCCCCAUCUGCAUCUCAAGAAGCUUGCCCCUCUUCAAUCCCACGCUCUGUAUCGUGAUUCAGGUGUGAUUUGAUUUGUGACCAAUCUGGGAAUCCCGGAGUAGUUGCUAAUUGGGAUUUCAACCAGUGCUUUCUUCCAUGAUUCUUCUAGAUGGAAGCCCUCUGUUGAGUUUAAUGGGAUCAUAUUCAUUAAUUCAUGAGGCAAUACGUUGAGCUCACAAGCACUUUUCAUAUGUACCUGAUGACUCCUAUUCAUGUUGCAGAUAAACCGUCCUUCCUGAAAUUUGAUUGCUUUAAUUUUUAGGGUUGCUUAUUAUUUUUGGUGUAAUGUGGUUGUCUGAAAUUGUCCAUGUGCAUCUGGAUACAGUAGUAUCAGUUCUGCAAAAGUAAUAUUUUAGUUUCCUGCCUGUAUGGAUCAUUGACAAUAAUUUAUCUAAACUCAAUAAAUAGUCAUCAUUUAACAAUCUAAUAUUUUAAUUACUAAUUUCUUAAUAUUCAAAUGACACUUCAUUAAAUUUAAAUUAGGAUAGAUCUUCCAUAUGAACAAGCUCCAUCCUCCAUGUUCUUAACCAUUGUAUUAGUAACACCAAAAUAUGACUAUUUGUUGCCAUCUUAUUGAUAUUUCAGUCUAUGUAGAGGUGACAUAAUAAUAGGUACCCAUAAGUAAUUAAGGACAGCUCAAUCGGUUUCAACAUAGUUUAGCUCUGAAUAAAUAGGAUUAACAUUGAAGUUACUGAUUAUGAUUUUAGCUUGUUAUGAUUUUGUUUGGAUCAUAUAUAGGAUUAACACUGAAGUUAUUGUAGGCUUAUGAAGGAGCUCCUUGUUGACAAAACCAAGCUAUCGAAGGACUGUGGCGGUGUGCCUCUAGUUGGAGAUUAGUAUUUUGUUAUAGUAGUAUGGUUAGGCACUAUUUUUUUUGUAGGGAACUAUCUGUAAGUAAGUUAGGCACUAUUAGAUUCAUGGUUGAUAUUUUUUCUCUUUUCUGCAAAGAUACAUCUUGAUGUAUUGCCAUAUUGAAUCAAUAAUAUUUAUUUUCUGUCACAA